AAUAAGCACCGGGGGAGCUGGGCAGGCCGGCUGAGAGGGUAUCCCGUCACACGAUACCGACCCUAAUACCUGAUCUGGAUAAUGCCAGCGUAGGAACGGUAAAGCCGAGCCUUG
Molecule: non-coding RNA, 114 nt
Filed under: Paenibacillus darwinianus
Lineage: Bacteria; Bacillati; Bacillota; Bacilli; Caryophanales; Paenibacillaceae
Description: TPP sequence
Rfam family: TPP riboswitch aptamer (THI element)
About the family: Vitamin B(1) in its active form thiamin pyrophosphate (TPP) is an essential coenzyme that is synthesised by coupling of pyrimidine and thiazole moieties in bacteria. The previously detected thiamin-regulatory element, thi box was extended, resulting in a new, highly conserved RNA secondary structure, the THI element, which is widely distributed in eubacteria and also occurs in some archaea.
Source: Rfam by way of RNAcentral